GAGCCAUGAAAAACAUUUUGAUGGUUACUCAUGUAUCAAGUGCAUAAGGUUAGAUUAAAGUGACCGUUUGCCUAAAGAGGGGUUACCAAAUUAUUAUUUAUCCAGUUUUAUAUGGAUACAAUUUCAGGUUAUGAAUCUACAUUUAAGGAAAGUUGUGAAUUUUUGUGAUCCUUAGCAAAGUGUGAGUAGGAUAUUCUCACCCAGUA
This is a long non-coding RNA of Haliotis rubra (blacklip abalone), 206 nucleotides long. RefSeq lists it as uncharacterized. The transcript has 3 exons. The record is from RefSeq and is a predicted model, not a curated record. Lineage: Eukaryota; Metazoa; Mollusca; Gastropoda; Lepetellida; Haliotidae.